CUUGUUUUAGUUACUUUAUUUCUAAUUUUCGUGAAAUGGUGAUCCAAACCAAACCACCACAUGCCCCCCCCUCACUCACUCACUCAUUUGAAUGGUACAACAACUUUUCAACUGUCGAAAGUUUCUUCAAAAUGUCUUUUGUUUAGGCGUUGUUGCACUGUUAUUUUGAGUUGAGUAAUUUUUCAUGUAUAUUAUUAGAUAAAAUAUGGGGCUGAUUAUUUGUGACACAACUUCAUAGUUCACGCGGCAGAGAACAUUAUUCAUGGCAUCUAUCCAAACUCAUAACAAUUAAAAGUUUAAUUCUAAUCUUUUUCCUUGCCCGCACCAAAGUUAUUGUGACGUUUUUCGGGUCAUUCGUAUGCAUAGAAAUCAUCGCCGCAAUGGACCUUUAACCUUAUAACUAAAAUUUUGAUCUAGACAAAAAUUUCAUCACAGCUUGAAAGCGCAUCACAAAAUUAGUAAUAUUUCGAAGUUUCGUUGCGAAAUGUUGUAAAAUGCGGAUAAUAUAGCCCUGCGAAAUUUGCAAUUUUCAGUAAUUUUGUAUUACAAACGGGAAAUUGAUACCCCAACACCCGAU
Non-coding RNA from Paramuricea clavata, 577 nucleotides. The record is from the annotation of a GenBank genome assembly. NCBI's taxonomy places the organism in Eukaryota, Metazoa, Cnidaria, Anthozoa, Malacalcyonacea, Plexauridae.